GGCCUUGACAUACUAAGAACUUUCCAGAGAUGGAUUGGUGCCUUCGGGAACUUAGAUACAGGUGCUGCAUGGCUGUCGUCAGCUCGUGUCGUGAGAUGUUGGGUUAAGUCCGCAACGAGCGCAACCUUUUCCUUAUUUGCCAGCGGGUAAUGCCGGGAACUUUAAGGAUACUGCCAGUGACAAACUGGAGGAAGGCGGGGACGACGUCAAGUCAUCAUGGCCCUUACGGCCAGGGCUACACACGUGCUACAAUGGUCGGUACAAAGGGUUGCUACCUCGCGAGAGGAUGCUAAUCUCAAAAAGCCGAUCGUAGUCCGGAUCGCAGUCUGCAACUCGACUGCGUGAAGUCGGAAUCGCUAGUAAUCGCGGAUCAGAAUGCCGCGGUGAAUACGUUCCCGGGCCUUGUACACACCGCCCGUCACACCAUGGGAGUUUGUUGCACCAGAAGUAGGUAGUCUAACCGCAAGGAGGACGCUUACCACGGUGUGGCCGAUGACUGGGGUGAAGUCGUAACAAGGUAGGCGUAGAUGA
RNAcentral lists this ribosomal RNA (531 nucleotides) under uncultured bacterium. Its description in RNAcentral is "bacterial SSU rRNA". It matches the Rfam family "Bacterial small subunit ribosomal RNA", at positions 977 to 1509 of the family's 1533-position model. The record is from RNAcentral.